Molecule: small nuclear RNA, 136 nt
Organism: Carcharodon carcharias (great white shark)
Lineage: Eukaryota; Metazoa; Chordata; Chondrichthyes; Lamniformes; Lamnidae
Product: U11 spliceosomal RNA
Exons: 1
Source: RefSeq, a predicted model, not a curated record
UAACUUCCUGUUAAUUGCUGAAUGGCACAUGGACGAGGCGCUUGCGCUUUAUCCGUGCGGAAUCGCUAUCAAGAGAUUUCGGAAGCACAAUUUUUGUUCCUUGGAGCUGCUGGUGAUUGUUUGUCUCGGCGCUUCA